This 6966-nucleotide long non-coding RNA is filed under the name Homo sapiens (human). Its description in RNAcentral is "HSALNT0366924". The record is from RNAcentral. Lineage: Eukaryota; Metazoa; Chordata; Mammalia; Primates; Hominidae.
GUGAUCCGCCCACCUUGGCCUCCCAAAGUACUGGGGUUACAGGCUUGAGCCACCACGCCUGGCUGAAAACCUUCCCAUUUCUUUAAGUCUCUUCCUUUACACUUUCAUUCUUGGUAUUCACUUAUUUGAAAAUAGUGCCUUCCUGGCUACCAAUUAUGAACAGUUCCUGACUUUCUCUAAAAAUGUCAAUCAAAUAAUUUGGGCAGAACCGAUGUAAUGAUGGCUGGUCAAGUGUAAUGCACCUUGUAACACAGUCUGCCUGUCACUGGAUCCAUUACCAGAGCUACAUGCUGGGCGCAGACUCCAUCAGGGCACCACACUGGGCAACAGCCAAGAGUCAAGAUAAUGAGGUGCUUCCUCAAAGUGCAUCCACAAAGAGGGUCCUCCACUGGCUUCCUCUUUCCCAACAGAGCAGAGACAUGGAGACAUUAUGUGUUUGCAUUGUCUAGUAUAAUCUUCCUGCCUAUCUUCUUGGUGUGAAGAGCAUCCACAGUUAUUGCAAAUCACAUGUUUUUCCUGAGGUUAUUUAUUUAGGAAAGUUUCAGUAUAUACAAAGAUGGUGAAAUCUGAGUGUUUGCACGCAAUAAAAAAAUACAUUUUGGCAGAGAAAAUCUCUAGAGUGAAUGAAGGAGCAAUGUUUUUUUGUUAAAUCCCUAUAGGUUACCAGUUAUUAGAGAUUCAACUCCAACCAGUUUAAGAAUAAAGGGAUUAAUUUUUUGUUCAUAGUGGGAAAAUUCAGUAAGGCAUGGCUAGAUCCAGGGAUUUAAAUAUUAUAAAAAUGUUUUCUCCUCUACCUUCUUUACUUUCCUCCCUGUUGGCUUCAUUACCUGCAGUUUUUCUCUAAGUGGUACAAAACUGGCCCCCAAAGCUAAAAGACUUUGUAUCCUUUAAUCUCCUGACCUCGGAAGGAGAGUCUGUUUCCCUGUUCCAUAUAAUCUUUGAAAUAUCAUAUGCUGGUUGUCUCUCCUUGGUUAAUAGGCCUUUUGUUUUCAAGAGGACUGGAUACACUGAUUGCCUAGCCUGACAUGUACACUUACAGGGAGGCAGGAGUCUUGCUGACAGCCCCACUAAAAUCACUUAAACUAGAGAAAGAGCAAUUCCUAUAAGAAGAAUAAAAGUACAUAUUAAUGACAGGUUUCAAAUAUUCUCUGGAAUAUGUCAUCUGUAAAUUAAAUAUUGGACUUAAUAAUUUUACGUGUGUAAAAGUUGUUUCAUGGCAUCUUUUGCUUUUAUUUCAAGGACGACUGUGAAGCCAAGCUGUUAGUCGGCAUCCUGGGAACGGCAGCACACUUACAGAAAACUAUUUUGUCAAGUUUUUGAAUCCAAAAACUUGUAUGGUCUCUGUUUCUCCAAGUCCGCCAUACAGUUGAUUCUAUGCAAGAAAAACCCAUUGCUGCCAGUAGUUUCUCAAGUUUCCAUUUUGUUUUUCAAGGCCAAGAUAAAGAGGGGAGGGAAAAAAAAGAAAAUAAAUCAAGAACUCUUCUUCUAAAAGCACAUGUGCUAAGAGAUCCAGUUCUGAAGUUGUCAUAGUGAGCAAAAGAAUGCCAAGCCUUGCAGCUCAGUGGGCCAAAUUCUGUUCUCAGCCACAUGUCCGCAGCUUCCACUGAUAUCAAUGGGAGUUGUGUGUAUAUGUGAACUGAGGACAGAAGUUGGCUGUGUAUAAAUAGCUCUGCAAUGGUGAAAAUCUCUUCUUGUGCAUCUGGUACAACAGAGGUAGUCUUUUGCAGUUAGUGGCUGCUUCCCUUUCUAGUAAAGUAACCAGGCAGUUUCAAGAAUUCCUGUAUCAGAAUAUUUGAUAGCAAUUAUUUUGUCUAGAAGAUUUCAGUCAGGGGUACAGGGAGCAGUAUUUGCCCUAAACUUCUCUCAUUUUCCAAUAGCAAAUUCAAGACAGAUUUAACAAUCAGUUGCAACACCAGCCUUCACUGUUCCUUGGCUGAGCUGUCUAUCUGCUAAUUGACUGAUUGAUAUGCAGCUAAUUGGGGGGUAGGGUGGGAAGUCAGUAUGCUCAUUAAGCAGUUAAAAACAGUGUCUAAAGCAAAGUAUUUACUUUCAGACUGGCUGUUAAUGCAGCAGAGCUGUAUGACAUAGUAGGUCUUCCACGGGAACAAGGUUCUGACCUCAUCAAGCAGGACACAGACAAAGCCCUUGGCACUGUCAGUUUGCCAUUUUGCCAGCACCCCCAGUCUGGUAGUCAGCGUUGGUGUUAGGCUGAGCCAUCUUUUCAGGGAGUCUCAGAUGAAAGUUUCUUUCAGAGCACAGAUAAGGAUAGAUUCUUUCACUAUUCAUUAGAAACAGGAGAUUUCUCCAACAUUUAUAUAUGAAGGGUUCCAGACCAUGAAAGUUACCUACAGGUAGAUGAUUUUCAAAUCCUUCUCUUCAGUCCAUGUCCCAAUUCUAAAUUCCAGACUGGCUUCUGGGCAUCUCUACCUGGCUAUCCAAUACACACCUUAAAUUCAUCCGAAGCUUAACUUUUAUUCCUGACUCAGAAAGUGUCUUCUACUUUGGUCCCUAUCUUAGCUGGAACUCCUUUCCCCUAGAACUCAAAUCCAAAAACUAUCAGUAAGCUACAAUUCCUCUCUUUCCCUUGUCCUACGUGUAAUCAAUAAUAAGCUUAGUUAAUUUUACCUAUUAAAUCUCUCUCUUUCUGUCUUCUUAUAUUGAUUCCCUGUUCCUGCCAUGGUAGAGUGAAUUAAAGCACAGGCUUUAAUGUGAUUAACAACUGGGUUUGAAUCCUACUUUUGUUAGCUUUUUGUGGGGUAUUUCUUUUUUAAGGGCACAUUUGUGUAAACUUUGGUUUCUUUGUGAGAUGGAAUGGCAUCUGCUUUGCAGAGCUAACUAACAGAGACUAAAUGGAAUUAUAUAUGUAAAGUGUUGUUAUAGUUGCUGACACAUAGCCAAGUUCCAAUAAAUGGGGGCUAUUAUAAAACAGAGACCUCAUCCUUUCUUACUCAGCCUAUGGUAGUAGUCUCUGCAUACAGUGUUGCCCCUCUUCCAUUCCCCAUUUGCAGCUGGAGCAAACUUUCUAGAUGCAAAUUAUUCCAUAUUAUACAUCCAAAUACAUUUUGUGGGACAAACAAGUCCUCAUGUCACUCAUUCUUCUAUCACUCAUCCAUCUCCAAUUGCACUCCUUCUUAGCUUAACAUGGUACUAAAUCGUACCCCCAUCUAGCCAAUUGGAAAACUAGUAUUUAUUACUUAAGGACCCAUCUUAAAAUGGUUUGUUCUCUGAAAUUUUCCCUGAUCCCACUCCAAAUAGAUUUAACACCUUCCUUAAUUCCAUCACUAUUUCUUGAAGUAUAAAACUUAUAUACAUCUACUAUAAGUUUUAUUAUACUGUAUCGGUAUUACUUGUUCCAUAAAUCUGUUUUGCAGGUCAGACUAUUCUAUGGUCUUUAAAAAUGCCAUAAAAAAGAGACAUUAAUUAAGAAUAGCUCUUUAUUGUUCUCUCCCAAGCAUUUAGCCCAGUGCUGCAUUAGUUUUCUACUGCUGCUCCAACAAAUUUAUACAAAUAUAAUGACUUGAAACAGAUGUAUUAUCCUACAAUUCUAUAGGUCAGAAGUCUGGCAUGGGUCUCACUGGGCUAAAAUCAAGGUGUCAGAAGAAGAGUUGUGUUCCUUUCUAGGGGCUCUAUAAUUUUUUUUUUUUUUUGAGACGGAGUCUCGCUGUCGCCCAGGGUGGAAUGCAGUGGCGCGAGCUCGGCUCACGGCAGGCUCCGCCCCCCGGGGUUCACGUCAUUCUCCUGCGUCAGCCUCCCGAGUAUCUGGGACUACGGGCGCCCGCCACCACGCCCGGUUAAUUUUUUUGUAUUUUUAGUAGAGACGGGGUUUCACUGUGUUUUUAGUAGAGACGGGGUUUCACUGUGUUAGCCAGGAUGGUCUCGAUCUCCUGACCUCGUGAUCCGCCCGCCUCGGCCUCCCAAAGUGCUGGGAUUACAGGCGUCAGCCACCGCGCCCGGCCUAUAAUUUUUUUUUUUAACUCCUUCACUGUUGUUGGCAGAAUUUAGUUUCUUCCUGUUACAAGGAUUGAGGUCGCCAUUUCCUUGCUGGUAGUCACCUGAGGACUGUUCCCAGAUUCUAGAGACUGCCUGCAUACCUUGGCUUAUCACCUUCCACUGCCUGCAUACCUUGGCUUAUGCCCUUUCUCCUGCAUCUUCCAAGCCAGCAAUGGUAGGGUGAGUCUCUCUGUGGCCGUUUCCCUGACCUAGUCUUUUACCUUCCUCUUCUAGUUUUAAGGAACUAGGUGAUUGGAGAGCCCAGCUAGAAAUUCCAGAAUAAUCUUGCUGUUGUAAGGUCCUUAAUCUUAAUCCGAUCAGCAAAGUCUCUUUUGUCAUAUAAGAAAACACAUUUACAGCUUCCACAGUUACGGUUAGGGUUAGGGUAUGGUCAUCUUUUGGGAUGCAUUAUUUUUCCUAUCAGCAGAGCCUAGCAUAUUUUAGAUGAUCUAUAAAUAAUGCUUGUUGAAAAAAAAUGUAUGCAGAUGAUAUUAAGUAUGUCUGUCUUUUAAGUAUAUUAGACUAUGUUUAGGGCCAUAGGUAAAUUGUAUAAUCUGGUAUUCUCAUCUGAUUUAUUUGUCAUAACUUUUCAUAAGUGUUAUUUUUUCUAGAUCUCUGCCCUGCAUGGGGCCAUGCAAAUGAAUUGUAACUAAAUAGACCAGAUGAAUUUUCUAUGACCUCCAAUUUAUCAUAUAUUAUCAACAUUAGUAAAGGCUACAGAAAACUACUAAGAGUCUCUGGUUCAGUCCUUUUUUGUUAAUACUUGCAGAAAAAUUUAUCUUUUGUAUACAAAUACAAGCUCAUACAUUCAUUCUAAAACUAUCUGAGUGUCUGUAUGUGCCAAGGUUUGUGAAACGUGGUAGGUAAAGAGUGGUGAAUUAAACAUGGUCCCUCCCUUAGAAGGCUUACAGAGUAACAGAUAGGUAACUAAAAAUUAAUUACAUCUGUAAGAUAAGCAGGUGAGGAAAGAGUAUAUUUGGGGGUAAAAUGAUAAUAGUGAAUAUAAGACAGUCUCUUUCUUUAAGGAGAUCAUAUUUAUUGCCUGGUUGGGAAUAUAAAUAUACAGGGAAAUCUUGUCAUAGCAGUGUAAUUUAAUUAAUAAUAGACAUAUCUUCAAGUUAUAGUGAUGUAUUAAGAAGGAAAAGAAUCAACUACACUUGAGUGAGGCUGGGAUGGUUUCAAAGAAUAGAAAACUGUUUUAAGUUGUGUCUUGAUAAAUAAACAGGACUUUUCCAGAUAGCCAAUUAAGGAUGGAGUAUGGAAGGUUUCUGAGGAGGAGGAAAAAACUGAGUACUCCUCCCAUUUUUAAAGGAGAGGAGGUCAGGAAUGCAUUUGUGAAUGGAGUAUCAUCUUAGCUGAGACCUGGAGGAUGAGGAGCCACUUGUUGGGUUAAGGGGAGAGUGUAGAGUUAGGAAUUUUCCAGGCAGAGAGAAUGGUAUAUGCAAAGGAUUAGAGGAAGGUGAGAAUGAGUAUCAAGUGUGAGGAACAGAGAAAAAUUCAGAAAGAUUACAGCAUAAAAAGGUGAGGAAUUGACAAGAGAUGACACUAACAAAGUGAUAAUAAAUCAGAUCAUGAAAGACUUUAAACCCCUGAAGAAGUGUGGGCAUUAUCUGAAGAACCAUGAAAAUCUAUUUGUAUGUUUUAAGCAGGGAAGUAAGAUGACAGAUUUUCAUGUUACUCUAUUCCAUUAUCCUUUAACUAACUGAGUUAGCUGUUGGUCUCCCUAUCCUCAUGACAGAACUAAUCUUAUUCUUUCCGUAUCAAAAAUUCCUCUUUCAUUAAUCAUCACAAUUUCUCUUUUUAUCUACACCAAAUAGACCAUUCGGUAUUCUUGAGAAACACUGGCUAAUCUUCUAGUCGACAAAGUCACACCCAAGGAAAGCACCAAACUUCUCUGAGGUCAAUAUUAUGUUGGAUUGUGCAGAGCCUGUUCCAUAAAGAUCUUUAUGUGCCCAACAAGCUGCAGACAACUUCUUGCAGCUCUGCAUGUGGGAGAAUAGGAAAUGGAAACUGAUAUCCACAUAUAAAGAUGAUGCAGGAAGAGGUAACCAUCCAUCACGGUUUUCCCAGAACAGGCUGAUUUGCGUCUUCUGUCCUGGCAUAAGGAUCCCUUCACUCUCGGAAGUGUUCCGGUUGGUAUGAUAAAUUACAUAAUCACUCUGAUUCAGUUUACAUAAGGAUCCCAAGUAUCACUAUUAUGCCUGCUUGGUUAUGAUGGAGUUGAAUUUUAGUAAAUUUGUAAUUUUUCUAAGUGCCUGUGGAGUGACUCACUGGAGUCUGAGGAAUGAGAUCAUCUUCCUGCAAUGAAUGAUAGUCUUGCUGAAGUCUCUACUAUUCCUGCUGGCUUCUUUUCUGCUAUAAAAUAUUUCUUCCUACAAAACGUUUCUUCUUGAGUCAGUUUUAUGGUUGAGGACACUGUCCAAGCUCAUGCCUUAGCUCCACAACUGGAAAGGAAAAUAUUCUUUCACCUCCCCUGCCAUUGCCAGUUUGAAAACAAUUGUAGGACUAGGUUCUGAUUGUUCUGGCUUAGAUCACAUGCCAAUUCCAAAGACAGUGGUCAGCGAGGUGCAGUCCCCACAUGGGCUUAGGUCAGGUGUUCACCUCUUGGCUGUUCAUUCUGCCCAGAGCAGUGAGGUCAAGUAGGAGAAUGGUAUCCCAACUUCAGACUAUGUGGAUCAAAGAGGAAAAGAAAUUUUCCUCCAAGAUUAGCAAGAUAUUAGCAAGGCUGGGCGUAGGCUGACCUGGUGGGAUGGCAGACUGGGCUGCUGGAGGAAUAGUGAUCUGUGCAGCCACUGUGAUUUGUCUUCUAUGAAGAGAUCAGUACACUGCCAAAUGCCAUAGCUAGUAAAGAAUACAGCCAGAAUUCAAUCCUAUAUCUUUUUUUUUAACCAGCAUGCCUUUAUUCUUAAGUUCCUUAUGCACAGUGUUUAGUUGUGAAAAAAUGGAAAAUAAAUGCCUGCCAAUAUAGCCUCUGAA